Astyanax mexicanus (Mexican tetra) is the source of this 1868-nucleotide long non-coding RNA. RefSeq lists it as uncharacterized. Lineage: Eukaryota; Metazoa; Chordata; Actinopteri; Characiformes; Acestrorhamphidae. The record is from RefSeq and is a predicted model, not a curated record. The transcript has 3 exons.
UUUAAUUAAAGAAUUUUCAAAACAUGAUUUACUGCCAGUGCCAGACAGACCAGGAAGACGGUGGAGUAAUCCAUAUGAAGUUCCAACCAUGAAAGAGAUCACUGGCUUCAAUGACCAGGAUGGAUACAACAGCAGCUGAACCACCAGAGGAGAGAGAAAGAUCCCAUGUGUGGGAAGUGUAGACCCAGUGCACUUCCAGAAGUCUAAGAACUGUAUGUUUUCUAUUCUUCUGAUGGUCAAAUCUGUGGUCAAAGCAGGUCAGAUCAAGCCAGAGUUGCCAGAAGUUGAUGGUUGCUCAAAAAAAGAACAUUUACACAGUUAUACAACAUUUAGAACAAUUAUGCAAUCAACAUGACAAAAGAAGUUAUGAAUAUCCUGCCAAUUUUCAUUGUUUAUAUUGAUGUUUAUAAUAGAUGAUUGACAGAAAAAGGUUUUCUAUGAAAUAAUUAUACUACAAAUAAUUCCAACCCUGCAAUGUGAUUGGCUGAAAGGCGUUCUAUGAGUACGAAUAUCAGCUGGUAAUGCACUGUAACUGAAGCUCUACAUGUAUUACUGUAUUACUUCGCCACAUACAGGUAACCUAGCAACGAUGCAGCAGCGCUUACAAACCAAACAGCGCAGCUACAAACAGAGCAGCAAUGGAACUAUUUUAACUGGAGGAGUUUUUAUAACAAACAGAUUCUCCUCUUUCUCCUCCUCUUAACUCUUUAAAAUCUUUCAAUAAACAGUGAUAAUGGAACUGUGGUAUAAUCACAAUAAUGCACAGUGCCAAUAUUACACGUUAUAGCACAAACCUCGAGUGUAUUAUUGCUUAGUUAUAUUUGUGGUGAAACACCUUUAUAAGUUGAAGAACAUCAAAAAAAGUUGAAUAGUUCUCAAUAAUCAACUCAUUCAUGAUUAUUUGAAUUGUUUUAUUUGUUUAUUUUUUUUUGUAUUAUCUCUGUUGUUUCAUCACUUCUGGUUGUAAUCUUUAUACUUUUGACUGUGAUUGAUAUUAUAUUGUUUAUGUUUAUCCUUAAACAUUACUCUCUAAUAUGGAGAAAUUGUGGACUUUGCUCAGUACUCCAUCUUAUACUCUGUGCAAAGAGUGUAAUGAUGCUCAUUGCUAUCUUACACCCUGCCAACCAAUAUACCAAUAUACUGUAUCUAUACUAAGGGGUGUGGUUGUCACACCCUAACCUUUGUAUGUCUUGCGUGUUUUCUUUUUUGUCCCUUCUGUUCCUGUCCUGACUUUCAGCCUGUUGUGUUUUCUUCCCCCAUGUGUGUUUCAAGCACAUGACCCUGUGUUAUUGUCUUGUCUCUUCCUGAGCCCCGCCCUAGCCAUUAGUAUUGUCACCUUGUGUCUUGUUUGAAACCCCUCCCCCUCGUUUUCUUCUCCAUGUAUUCCUUACCGUACUCGUGUAUAUAAGCCCCUUUGUUUUAAUGUUCCUUGUCGAGUCUUUUGUAGAUUCUUUGUAAUUUAUGUAUGUGCUGUUUCAUGGUUUCAGGUCUUCUUCUUUCUGUUUUUCUAUGUUUUCUAAGUUAUACUUAUUCAGUCUAGUUUUCUAUAGUCCUGUUUUCUUUGGUCCUGUAUUUACAAUUAGUUUUCAUAGUCUUGUUUAAUUGUUUUUGAUUUUUGCAUUUACCCUUGUUUGCUUUCUGUUUUGCUUUUGUUUAUCAUUUAUCAUUUUAUUAAAUUAAUAUUAUACAUUUUUUCAACAAAAAAUUCUAAGCAUUUUCAAACAAAACUAACAAAUCCACCCUGAAAGAAGACACACUUACACUGUGUUUUCUGUUAUAGUGCAGUUUAUUACUACUUUUACUUUAAAGGUUUUCUGAUCAUAGUUAAUCUGUCUUUGAAAAGCUGUGUUUUUUAUAAGCGGUGCAGA